This 266-nucleotide long non-coding RNA is filed under the name Panax ginseng (ginseng). RNAcentral's name for it is "long non-coding RNA (PGIN_LNC007800)". Lineage: Eukaryota; Viridiplantae; Streptophyta; Magnoliopsida; Apiales; Araliaceae. The record is from RNAcentral.
CUGGAUUGGGCGAGGGAGUUGAGCUCGACAGGGACAGGGCUGGGCUCGACAGGGAGGAGAAGGGGAGAGGGAGUUCCGGUAGGGAAAGAGAGAAAGGACAGCUAGCCUUAGUUCUUGAUUUAUAGAGUUACAAUCCUUGCUUCCCACUACACUUGCUUCCUAUGAAAUUUUUCUUGUUUCCCAAACAUUUUCCUUGUUCAUUACUCAUAUAAACCACUGAGUUUUUAGCCUACAAAUGCCAGCUCAUGCUUUCUUUCCCAGCUCAU